UAAGGAAUAUUGGUCAAUGGACGCAAGUCUGAACCAGCCAUGCCGCGUGAAGGAUGAAGGUCCUCUGGAUUGUAAACUUCUUUUAUCUGGGACGAAAACGGGAUUUUUAUCUCAAUUGACGGUACCAGAGGAAUAAGCACCGGCUAACUCCGUGCCAGCAGCCGCGGUAAUACGGCGGGUGCGAGCGUUAUCCGGAUUUACUGGGUUUAAAGGGUGCGUAGGUGGGAUUAUAAGUCAGUGGUGAAAUCUCCGAGCUUAACUUGGAAACUGCCGUUGNUACUAUAGGUCUUGCAGUAUCUGGAGUAAAGCGGAAUAUGUCAUGUGGCGUUGAAAUGCUUAGAUAUGACAUAGAA
This 353-nucleotide ribosomal RNA is filed under the name uncultured bacterium. RNAcentral's name for it is "bacterial SSU rRNA". It matches the Rfam family "Bacterial small subunit ribosomal RNA", at positions 355 to 706 of the family's 1533-position model. The record is from RNAcentral.